AUGGGCGUGGAAGACGGUUUUGGAUCCUGUGAGCCGCCGCCGCUGCCGCACAGAAAGUCAACGCCGGCCUUCUGCUGCUCCAUGUCCAACAAGUCGCCCACGAGGCAUCAGUGUGGCAUUGCUAGCUCCAGCUUCCCCCUGCAAUCGUCUCUGCCGCCGGCACUUGCACGCAAUCGUGCUGGUUUCUGUAGUUCAAGAUCAAAGGAAAGAAUCAGCCAAAUAUGA
RNAcentral lists this ribosomal RNA (225 nucleotides) under Triticum aestivum (bread wheat). Its description in RNAcentral is "partial small subunit ribosomal RNA". The record is from RNAcentral. Lineage: Eukaryota; Viridiplantae; Streptophyta; Magnoliopsida; Poales; Poaceae.